UUGAACGCUGGCGGCAUGCUUUACACAUGCAAGUCGAACGGCAGCACGGGUGCUUGCACCUGGUGGCGAGUGGCGAACGGGUGAGUAAUGCAUCGGAACGUGCCCAUGAGUGGGGGAUAGCCCGGCGAAAGCCGGAUUAAUACCGCAUACGCCUUUAGGGGGAAAGCGGGGGGAUCUUCGGACCUCGCGCUAUUGGAGCGGCCGAUGUCGGAUUAGCUAGUAGGUGAGGUAAAGGCUCACCUAGGCGACGAUCCGUAGCUGGUCUGAGAGGAUGAUCAGCCACACUGGGACUGAGACACGGCCCAGACUCCUACGGGAGGCAGCAGUGGGGAAUUUUGGACAAUGGGCGCAAGCCUGAUCCAGCCAUGCCGCGUGAGUGAAGAAGGCCUUCGGGUUGUAAAGCUCUUUCAGGUGGAAAGAAAUAGCGCUGUUUAAUAGAUGGCGUUGAUGACGGUACCACCAGAAGAAGCACCGGCUAACUACGUG
This 486-nucleotide ribosomal RNA is filed under the name uncultured bacterium. RNAcentral describes it as "bacterial SSU rRNA". It matches the Rfam family "Bacterial small subunit ribosomal RNA", at positions 30 to 507 of the family's 1533-position model. The record is from RNAcentral.